UUCAUACUCCCUCCGUUCAAAAAUUCUUGUCUUACAUUUGUCUAGAUAUAGAUGUAUCAAGUCACAUUUUAGUAUUAGGUACAUCCGUAUCUCUAGACAAAUUUAAAACUAAAAUUUUGGGACGGAGGGGGUAUUAA
Triticum aestivum (bread wheat) is the source of this 137-nucleotide non-coding RNA. The record is from Rfam. Lineage: Eukaryota; Viridiplantae; Streptophyta; Magnoliopsida; Poales; Poaceae.